UUCUCUCUGUCUUGCCUUUUUCACUCUCAUAUUUUGGUUGGAAGCCUAAAAACCGAAAGCUCCUAUGUAAGACGGUAAGAAGAGAUCCAACAAAAAUGCAUGCAUCAAAAAUCAAUGGCGGCUGCUAAUCAAAUAAACGAUUUUAUCUUUCACAGCAAAAACAUUACAGGAAGCUCCUUUCUCGGCCGACAUAUAAUGAAUGAAACAUCAUUGUGGAGGAAGGAGAGGAAGACAACAAGAGGUUUUGUAUUUUGAAUUUUGGAUGGAGUGCAAUAAAGAAGAGGCCGUAAGGGCCAAGAAAAUUGCUGAAAAGAGAAUGCAAAACAAAAAUUUCAACGCUUAAGGCUCAGCAGCUAUAUCCUGAUUUAUAAAAAAACUUAAUGAAAAGUUUGUUUAAUCUAAUUCCCUCCCUUCUGAAUAAACUAGUUCUUUUUAGUUAGCUUUUUAUUUUCAGACAAUUUCUCAGAUUUCUGAAUAAACUUGGUUGAGCCAGCUAUUUUAAACUUGUAAUAGUACAAUUUAUCUAAUUCAGCAUCUCAAUGCUACAUUAAUGUGUUCAUGUUAGACUUUGGUGAGGAAAGUAAAUGCAUGUUUGAAUACGAUAAGAGA
Molecule: long non-coding RNA, 609 nt
Organism: Vigna angularis (adzuki bean)
Lineage: Eukaryota; Viridiplantae; Streptophyta; Magnoliopsida; Fabales; Fabaceae
Exons: 5
Source: RefSeq, a predicted model, not a curated record